CUGAGAGCCACCAGAAAUAACAAUGAAGACAGCCACAUACGGGGCAGACCUGGGCCACUUUGCAGGAAAGGUUGGACACCAAUGAUCUCCACCUGAAUGGAUUUGUUUCAUGCAUUUGAAGCUUUUCCCUCUGUCUGGUGAAUUUCAGACAUCGGUUCACACAGAGCAGAGAUACUUUUGUGGAGCAGAAGGAGGUUGGGAGCCUCUGGGUGUUUGUCCUCCUUUUUCCUCCUCACCCAAAUCAUGCUGUUUGGUCAAACACAUACGCCACACAACAGAGUGGACAAAUUGGGUGGUCAAAUUUGAUGGCCACACAUACAUUUUGUUUAGGCUUGAAAGUAAGAAUGUUUCACAUAAAAAAACCCAGAUUGCCAAUAUCUCUUUACAAAGAUCAGACAAUACGGAGCCCCCAAUCCCAUACAGCUACCAUUGGCCAGAGCUGAGUAGCAGACACCCUGGCCCCCUUUCAAUGGGGCAUUUGCUUUUCAAUUGACCGAAGUCCCCACCCUGCCCUAGUAACUCUCCAGACAGAGCGGCAGCUGCCAUUUGUCACUGCACUCAGGCAAUGUUUAUCUCUAUGCAACCUCUGCACUUGGCCACUGAUGCAACCCGCCUAGCUCCCAAAGUCACCAGAAUUGACAAACCCUGCUAUAUAAUAUAGCCACACUCAUCUUUCAGAAUCUGAAAUGAUAUACACUGACAAUGUUAAUCAAUUCAGCCAAUUCAAUCAAACUUAAAAUUAAUAAAGCAAAAAUCAAUCAAAAUGAUUGCUUUUGAUUAAACUCAGCAGCAAUCAGGUGUGAUGCCCUCCUCUGUCACACCGUCAUUAUCUCUCUCUCGCCCUGUCUCCUGGACUGUCAUC
Molecule: long non-coding RNA, 862 nt
Filed under: Homo sapiens (human)
Lineage: Eukaryota; Metazoa; Chordata; Mammalia; Primates; Hominidae
Description: HSALNT0384836
Source: RNAcentral